UACGUAGGGGGCUAGCGUUGUCCGGAAUCAUUGGGCGUAAAGCGCGCGUAGGCGGCCAGAUAAGUCCGGUGUGAAAGUCAAAGGCUCAACCUUUGAAUGCCGCUGGAAACUGUCUGGCUAGAGUCCGGAAGGGGCGAGUGGAACUCCUGGUGUAGCGGUGAAAUGCGCAGAUAUCAGGAAGAACACCAAUGGCGAAGGCAGCUCGCUAGGACGGUACUGACGCUGAGGCGCGAAAGCGUGGGGAGCGAACAGG
This 253-nucleotide ribosomal RNA is filed under the name uncultured bacterium. RNAcentral describes it as "partial 16S ribosomal RNA". It matches the Rfam family "Bacterial small subunit ribosomal RNA", at positions 524 to 776 of the family's 1533-position model. The record is from RNAcentral.